UCACAGAAAAGACAUGGCUGUCUCUGAACCAGGAAGUGGACUUAGACACAAAAUCCACCAUGUCUUCAUCUUGGAUUCCCAGCCUUCACACUGACGCCUGGGGCAAGAGACCUGACAAGUGGCCCCCAACGUGGGGCUGAAUGAAGAAACACAACAGGAGGCCUUAGGAAAUGGGCUUCUUCACUCUCUCUCAACCCCCCAAUCCCUAACCACGUGCAUAAUGGCCCUUCCUACUUCCAAUGGCCCAGGAGGCACCACUCUGUGCAGUCUUUCCAACACAUCUCUGGGAAGAUUUGAAGGUGCUGAGGCUCUAUGGUAGACUAAGCCUAUUUGUAAGCAGCUGGUUGAACAAAUUGUGAGUCCGGUUACUCAGACCACUCUGAGCCGGGUGUUCAUGUCCUUUUCCUAUGCAGGAUGGAGUUCUCUCUUCUUUAGGAAUCCUGGAAACCCCGUCUCUGUGGGUUCAGACAUAUCAGCUGUUGGAAGCCCCUCCACCCAGCCCCCAGCUAACCAGUCCCCACUCCUUCCUGCAAAUGCCUCUGAUGAGCACACAUCUCCGUGACUCACCAGCUGCCUGGAAGAGGAGGAACAGCAUUUAUGAAUCCCCACUCUGCUCCUCUGCCUGGAGCUGAGGCCCCAGGUCACACUCAGUCCUUGCUUCCCCACAACUGUCACUGCGGGGCUGCUGUGGGGAAGGGCAGGGAAGACAGCUCUGUCAUCUCGAGUCUGGUUUUCCCAGAAUUUCCCAUGCUUCCCAGCACCCAGGUAGUGUGGAAGAAACCCCUCUUGUGCAUGCACACUCCCCUCCCACACAUCACAGCCAUGCAGACUCCUGCGGGCUGCUGACCUUCACACUUCUGCCUGCCUCUGAAUUUGCAACCCAAAGUCACCAUGGGGCAUAGAGACCAUUGCAUCCUUAUUGGCAAAAUGCUGUGUUCAAGGAAGCAUCUAUACUCACUUCAGCAAGUAUUGCUGAAAUAAAGUGAGGCUGGGUCCUACAUAGAGAAAAUCCUUGCCUUCUUUUUUUCUUAUUGUUAAGCAACCGUCUUCUCAUGGAGUCAGCUUCCUGAAGGGUCACAGAAGCAGGCAGAAUAUUAUAGGUUUGAGGAAAGAAAAAGAAUUCAGGGACUGAAGACAAUUCAGACCUAAAGUGGAAACCACCACCUCUCACCGCUAAAUGAGGACAAGGGUGCCCUGUUCCAGGCUGAGACAGCAGCACAGGCACCGGAAGGACCCCACGCAUAAGUGCUGGACUCAGGGUGAGAGAUCAAAGUAAGCGAUGCACCCAGGCUGGGAUGUUGCAAAAGAGCAGCUGCAAGAAGGCUGUCCAAACUCUCGGACCUUCUGUUUCCUCCAAUACAUCUUCCAGAAGGCCAGACAAGAGCAUCGAUGUGCAGGAGAGUGAAGCUUUCCUCUGACCCAGGUGAAUUUAUGGUUCACCUGCGCAUUUGUUGAAGAAAUCACUAGAAGCGAA
Molecule: long non-coding RNA, 1474 nt
Organism: Suricata suricatta (meerkat)
Lineage: Eukaryota; Metazoa; Chordata; Mammalia; Carnivora; Herpestidae
Exons: 2
Source: RefSeq, a predicted model, not a curated record